CCCCUAGAUGUUCUGGGCCGCACGCGCGCUACACUGAACAGUUCAACAAGUCUUAACCUUGGCCGAUAGGUCUGGGUAAUCUUUGAACGCUGUUCGUGAUUGGGAUAGACCUUUGCAAUUAUGGGUCUUCAACGAGGAAUUCCUAGUAAACGCAAGUCAUCAGCUUGCAUUGAUUACGUCCCUGCCCUUUGUACACACCGCCCGUCGCACCUACCGAUUGAAUGGUCCAGUGAAAUCUCGGGACGGCGGCUUGGUCGCUUGCGUCCGACUGCUGAAACUUGAUUAAACCAUAUCAUUUAGAGGAAGGUGAANUCGUAACA
RNAcentral lists this ribosomal RNA (320 nucleotides) under uncultured eukaryote. Its description in RNAcentral is "partial 18S ribosomal RNA". It matches the Rfam family "Eukaryotic small subunit ribosomal RNA", at positions 1470 to 1796 of the family's 1831-position model. The record is from RNAcentral.